UGGGGAAUAUUGCACAAUGGGCGCAAGCCUGAUGCAGCAACGCCGCGUGAGGGACGACGGCCUUCGGGUUGUAAACCUCUUUUAGUAGGGAAGAAGCGAAAGUGACGGUACCUGCAGAAAAAGCACCGGCUAACUACGUGCCAGCAGCCGCGGUAAUACGUAGGGUGCGAGCGUUGUCCGGAAUUAUUGGGCGUAAAGAGCUCGUAGGCGGUCUGUCGCGUCUGCUGUGAAAACCCGAGGCUCAACCUCGGGCCUGCAGUGGGUACGGGCAGACUAGAGUGCGGUAGGGGAGAAUGGAAUUCCUGGUGUAGCGGUGGAAUGCGCAGAUAUCAGGAGGAACACCGAUGGCGAAGGCAGUUCUCUGGGCCGUAACUGACGCUGAGGAGCGAAAGCGUGGGGAGCGAACAGGAUUAGAUACCCUGGUAGUCCACGCCGUAAACGUUGGGCGCUAGAUGUGGGGACCAUUCCACGGUUUCCGUGUCG
This 483-nucleotide ribosomal RNA is filed under the name uncultured bacterium. RNAcentral describes it as "partial 16S ribosomal RNA". It matches the Rfam family "Bacterial small subunit ribosomal RNA", at positions 355 to 848 of the family's 1533-position model. The record is from RNAcentral.